GAUGAAGAACGUAGCGAAAUGCGAUAAGUAGUGUGAAUUGCAGAAUUCCGUGAAUCAUCGAAUCUUUGAACGCACAUUGCGCCCGCCAGUAUUCUGGCGGGCAUGCCUGUUCGAGCGUCAUUACAACCCUCAGGCCCCCGGGCCUGGCGUUGGGGAUCGGCGGAGCCCCCCGUGGGCACACGCCGUCCCCCAAAUACAGUGGCGGUCCCGCCGCAGCUUCCAUCGCGUAGUAGCUAACACCUCGCGACUGGAGAGCGGCGCGGCCACGCCGUAAAACACCCAACUCUUCUGAAGUUGACCUCGAAUCAGGUAGGAAUACCCGCUGAACUUAAGCAUAUCAAUAAGCGGAGGA
This 352-nucleotide unclassified non-coding RNA is filed under the name soil metagenome. Its description in RNAcentral is "partial contains 5.8S ribosomal RNA, internal transcribed spacer 2, and large subunit ribosomal RNA". The stretch from base 1 to 120 matches the Rfam family "5.8S ribosomal RNA", at positions 35 to 154 of the family's 154-position model. The record is from RNAcentral.